CAUACGUUGUCCCUCUCUCUCUCUGCCCACACCUGCGAUUCUGCGAAAACAACGCGAGCGCACCGGCCACCUUUGCUCGCAAUCGGAGCGGCGAGCGAAGAGAAGAAUGUACAAAUCGAAGCUGCAAGAGCUGUGCCACCAGCGAUCAUGGGGCUUGCCGGAGUACGCGGCCGUGAAGGAAGGCCCCGACCACAUGCCUCGCUUCACCGGCACCGUCUCCGUGAACGGCGUCUCCUUCCGGACCCCGGACCCCUGCAAAUCCUCCAAGGAGGCCCAGAACGAGGCCGCCAGGCUCGCCUUCGACCACUGGUCCGCGCCGCGGCCUCCUCCCAGGGAACCGCCCCGAGUCGCGCCUCCUCCUCCUCCCCCUCCGUCCGGCGACGGCGGCGAUGACGCUGCCGGCACGGGUGCUUCAAGUGAAAGUACAAUGUUAGACCAUUUGCUUGCCGAUUUACAGAAAGUGCAGCCAAAAAAACCAGAGAUAAAUGAAAUUUCAGAAGUCGCUGAGAGCCAUUUACUUGCCAAUUUGGAGAAACAGCAGCCAGAACUACCAGAGAGCAAUGAAAUGUCUAAACCCGCUGAGAGCAGCUCAAUCGCCAACAAUAAUACAACUGUAAAAGAUAUGCAGCAUUUGUAUAAAAACCAACUGCAAACAUUUGCUCAAAAGAGGAAUCUUGCUCUGCCUACAUAUUGUUCUGAGCAUGAGGGUCCGCCACAUGCCCGUCGCUUUCGGUGCAAAGUUUCAAUAGAUGGAAGAACCUAUGAAACUGUGGAGUUCUUUAAUACAUUGAAAGAAGCCGAACAUGCAGCUGCCAGGAUUGCUCUGAUGUCAUUGUCGUCUGAUACAUUUCAGGAGGUUGAUUGUGGUUUAUACAAGAGUCUUUUGCAAGAAUUUACUCAGAAACAAGGUCAUAGCCUGCCAGUUUAUGAUACAGUCAGAUGUGGCGAAAGUCAUAUUCCAAUUUUUAUUUCAACUGUGGAGAUAGAAGGAGAGAGUUUUAAAGGGCAAGAAGCAAGAACCAAAAAGAUGGCAGAGACUAGUGCUGCAAAAGUUGCUUACAUCAUUCUCAAAGAGCGUACAUCCGGGAAAAUAAGUGCAAGCUCUACUUCCCAAUCCCCUGUUCUUCAAAGAGAAAAGGCGGCUUUGUCAUCACAUUGCUCGCUGGCAGAUGACAGUACUGGGUACCAGCAGAAGGUCACGAUCAGGCCUACUCCCAACGUGAUCUCAAAUCAUAGUGGCUCUGAUGGAAAACAGAUUGAUGAUAAUGAGAAUGUUGAAGCUAGCCACCACAAUCUCCCAGGUCCAUCUAGUGGAUUAGAUACAUUCAUAUGGGGAUCUACUGAUCAAUUCAUACCAAACAUGUCAAAUGCUCAUCUGAGGGAUCCGUCCCUAGCUGUUCCCUCUUCGUCUGAAGAUGCUUCAUCCUCAUCCUCUUCCCUCCCCCAUUUCACCGAUGCGGUUAACGACUCCACUGCUCAGCUGCUAGCUGAAUUGAAUGGCUUAUCAAAAAAUGUGGUUAGGGUGUAUCCAUGCAAAUCAAACAUGGCAAUUCCUUUGCAGAGAAUAGUUCGGAGAGAUGAAAACUGGGUUGCUGUAAGUGCAGAUCCAAGUUAUAUGGGCCACGCAACCUGAACUUAAAGAAAUAUCUUACAGGUCAUAGUUGUUCAAGGCUCAUAAUUUUCUGCAUAUUUUUAAGGAGAUCUACUUUUAAUCAUUCUCUAUAAGUAGAUGGAUGGAAAAGGUUACUAUGUGUGAAAGUGGAAGUUUUCUCUACAGCAGAUGCUUUUGUACUCGUAGGUUAAGUUCUCAUUUGGAGGUUCCUUUUGUGCUUGAAGCUCUUGAGAGGCUCUUUUCAGUAACAGGACUGCUUGAUGUUGUUGAUGAUAAAGGAGACAGGAGCACAAGAAGGAUGGAUUAGUUGUAGACAAUGGAAGCGAAGACGCAAAAA
This is an RNA transcript of Syzygium oleosum, 1949 nucleotides long. It is a transcript of the gene named double-stranded RNA-binding protein 1-like, with no coding region annotated. The transcript is spliced from 7 exons. NCBI's taxonomy places the organism in Eukaryota, Viridiplantae, Streptophyta, Magnoliopsida, Myrtales, Myrtaceae. The record is from RefSeq and is a predicted model, not a curated record.